UCUUUUUUAUUUAUUUUAUUUUCUUUAUUUCGUACAUUAAAUAGAAAAUAAAAAGGGAAAGGGGACUCACCGGGAACCACCGUGGUUGCGCCGUCGGAGGGCUUCUCCUCCGUCGCCGAUUCGGGUCCGAGAGGGGUUGUGGGUUUCCCUCUUUCCCGCGGGUUGAGAGAUCUGAGAUCUCAAGGAUGCCACACAAUGAGGGUUAAAAACCCCUUUUUCUCGC
Molecule: long non-coding RNA, 223 nt
Filed under: Gossypium raimondii (Peruvian cotton)
Lineage: Eukaryota; Viridiplantae; Streptophyta; Magnoliopsida; Malvales; Malvaceae
Description: long non-coding RNA (GRAI_LNC008636)
Source: RNAcentral